Molecule: ribosomal RNA, 253 nt
Filed under: uncultured bacterium
Lineage: Bacteria
Description: partial 16S ribosomal RNA
Rfam family: Bacterial small subunit ribosomal RNA
Source: RNAcentral
UACAGAGGUCUCAAGCGUUGUUCGGAUUCAUUGGGCGUAAAGGGUGCGUAGGCGGCGCGGUAAGUCGGGUGUGAAAUCUCGGAGCUUAACUCCGAAACUGCAUUCGAUACUGCCGUGCUUGAGGACUGGAGAGGAGACUGGAAUUUACGGUGUAGCGGUGAAAUGCGUAGAUAUCAGGAGGAACACCGGUGGCGAAGGCGGGACUCUGGGCCGAUACUGACGCUGAGGAGCGAAAGCGUGGGGAGCAAACAGG